UUUGGAAAAUUUUAUCUAUUUGUACAUUUAAAAAUUAGCGUGAUUAACGGAAUAAUCAAACAAUAAUAUAUGACGUACCACAUGUACCUUAUUCUAACAUAUAAAAAUUCAUUUUUAAUAGUAAAAAUGAAUGAAACUUUUAAUA
Molecule: microRNA precursor, 145 nt
Filed under: Gossypium arboreum
Lineage: Eukaryota; Viridiplantae; Streptophyta; Magnoliopsida; Malvales; Malvaceae
Description: MIR7502 microRNA precursor family
Rfam family: MIR7502 microRNA precursor family
Source: Rfam by way of RNAcentral